This 329-nucleotide unclassified non-coding RNA is filed under the name soil metagenome. RNAcentral's name for it is "partial contains 5.8S ribosomal RNA, internal transcribed spacer 2, and large subunit ribosomal RNA". The stretch from base 1 to 120 matches the Rfam family "5.8S ribosomal RNA", at positions 35 to 154 of the family's 154-position model. The record is from RNAcentral.
GAUGAAGAACGUAGCGAAAUGCGAUAAGUAAUGUGAAUUGCAGAAUUCAGUGAAUCAUCGAAUCUUUGAACGCACAUUGCGCCCCCUGGUAUUCCGGGGGGCAUGCCUGUCCGAGCGUCAUUACAACCCUCAAGCUCAGCUUGGUGUUGGGCCCCGCCGCCCCGGCGGGCCCUAAAGUCAGUGGCGGUGCCGUCCGGCUCCGAGCGUAGUAAUUCUUCUCGCUCUGGAGGUCCGGUCGUGUGCUCGCCAGCAACCCCCAAUUUUUUCCAGGUUGACCUCGGAUCAGGUAGGGAUACCCGCUGAACUUAAGCAUAUCAAUAAGCGGAGGA